GUCAUUUCAUCUAGAGCAGGUCUCCCGAGACGCGUCCAGACGGGCCGUGCUCCCAAACCCCGAGCUCGCGCCCCCCAGGCACUAGCCCGGUCACCUUCACAGAGGGGAGAGGGACCAUUAAAGAAGGAGGAGGAUGAUACUGGAGUGGAACUGGGGAAUCUCUUAAGAUCAACAGGACACGACCAGAUGGAUGCCUGUAGAUCUAGUUAGGCCCUGUUAUCGAAAGUGAUGGAUGAAGGUGCUGAGUAUUGAUUCCAAUAAUUUGGGAAAUCAGCCCACUAUUCUGUAAUAAGAUAUAAGGUGUCAGUGUGACAGCUGCUUUAUUGUUGGGGAGCUCACGCAUACCUAAGGGGAUGGAGGCUUCCAGCAGCCCCUGUGUCAUUAUUUACUAAGGAUUUACAUAUGUCGUGCAGCUUACUGGCUCUAGGCAUGCAAUGGCUCUUCAG
This is a long non-coding RNA of Mauremys mutica (yellowpond turtle), 446 nucleotides long. RefSeq lists it as uncharacterized. The transcript has 4 exons. Lineage: Eukaryota; Metazoa; Chordata; Testudines; Geoemydidae. The record is from RefSeq and is a predicted model, not a curated record.